GAUGAAGAACGCAGUGAAAUGCGAUAAGUAAUGUGAAUUGCAGAAUUCAGUGAAUCAUCGAAUCUUUGAACGCAUCUUGCGCUCCUUGGUAUUCCUUGGAGCAUGCCUGUUUGAGUAUCAUGAGCAAAUCUCAAAGUCGAUUCCUUUUGUUAAUUCAAUUGGUUUUGCUUUGGACUUGGAGGUCUUGCAGAUUUUCACAGUCUGCUCCUCUUAAAUGCAUUAGCUGGAUCUCAGUAAUUAUGCUUGGUUCCACUCGGCGUGAUAAGUAUCACUCGCUGAGGACACUGUUAAAAAGGUGGCCAGGAAAAUACUGAUUGAACCGCUUCUAACGGUCUAUUAAGUUAGACAAUUACCCUUAAGUUUGAUCUCAAAUCAGGUAGGACUACCCGCUGAACUUAAGCAUAUCAAUAAGCGGAGGA
RNAcentral lists this unclassified non-coding RNA (419 nucleotides) under soil metagenome. Its description in RNAcentral is "partial contains 5.8S ribosomal RNA, internal transcribed spacer 2, and large subunit ribosomal RNA". The stretch from base 1 to 120 matches the Rfam family "5.8S ribosomal RNA", at positions 35 to 154 of the family's 154-position model. The record is from RNAcentral.